This 449-nucleotide ribosomal RNA is filed under the name uncultured bacterium. RNAcentral describes it as "partial 16S ribosomal RNA". It matches the Rfam family "Bacterial small subunit ribosomal RNA", at positions 355 to 788 of the family's 1533-position model. The record is from RNAcentral.
UGGGGAAUAUUUGCACAAUGGGCGCAAGCCUGAUGCAGCCAUGCCGCGUGUGUGAAGAAGGCCUUCGGGUUGUAAAGCACUUUCAGCGAGGAGGAAGGUGGUGAGCUUAAUACGCUCAUCAAUUGACGUUACUCGCAGAAGAAGCACCGGCUAACUCCGUGCCAGCAGCCGCGGUAAUACGGAGGGUGCAAGCGUUAAUCGGAAUUACUGGGCGUAAACGCGCACGCAGGCGGUUUGUUAAGUCAGAUGUGAAAUCCCCUGGGCUCAGCCUGGGCAAGCUGCAUUUGAAACUGGCAAGCUAGAGUCUCGUAGAGGGGGGUUAGAAGUUCCAGGUGUAGCGGUGAAAUGCGUAGAGAUCUGGAGGAAUACCGGUGGCGAAGGCGGCCCCCUGGACGAAGACUGACGCUCAGGUGCGAAAGCGUGGGGAGCAAACAGGAUUAGAUACCCCU